Daucus carota subsp. sativus is the source of this 291-nucleotide long non-coding RNA. RefSeq lists it as uncharacterized. The transcript is spliced from 2 exons. NCBI's taxonomy places the organism in Eukaryota, Viridiplantae, Streptophyta, Magnoliopsida, Apiales, Apiaceae. The record is from RefSeq and is a predicted model, not a curated record.
UUCUGAAUCCUUAUCGCGUGCCAGUGCCUAAUCUUCCUUCUUCUCCCGCAUCUGUACCACACUAAAAAAAAAACAUAUUAAGCCUAAAAGGGUUACGCUUCAUCUCACUCUCCUCUCCAUCCAAGACUUGCUCCCAUCUCUUUCAAGGAUUCUUGGAAGAAGACCCGUUUUCUUUUCGGACAUUAAAGUUUUAUUGUCUAAAUUUCCCCGGUCAUCUUGCAUGUCCGACGGUUAGAUAAUAAGCUUUCUUGAAUGAAAGAAUUAUCACGGUGAAUUGCCGAUUCUCGUUGA